GCCUGGCUAGCUCAAUCGGAUAGAGCGUCAGAUUCUUAUGCUGGUUGGCAGGCUAUAUAUGUUGAUCUGAAGGCUGCGAGUUUGACCCUCGCGGUGGGCU
Armillaria borealis is the source of this 100-nucleotide non-coding RNA. The record is from the annotation of a GenBank genome assembly. NCBI's taxonomy places the organism in Eukaryota, Fungi, Basidiomycota, Agaricomycetes, Agaricales, Physalacriaceae.